RNAcentral lists this transfer RNA (69 nucleotides) under Archips podanus. RNAcentral describes it as "tRNA-Ala". The record is from RNAcentral. Lineage: Eukaryota; Metazoa; Arthropoda; Insecta; Lepidoptera; Tortricidae.
AGGAUAAUAGUUUAAAAAUCUAAAACAUUUGAUUUGCAUUCAAAAAAAAUUAAAAAUUAAUUUAUCUUA